Molecule: ribosomal RNA, 332 nt
Filed under: uncultured Ruminococcus sp.
Lineage: Bacteria; Bacillati; Bacillota; Clostridia; Eubacteriales; Oscillospiraceae
Description: bacterial SSU rRNA
Rfam family: Bacterial small subunit ribosomal RNA
Source: RNAcentral
AGUAGUUUGAUCAGUGGCUCAGGACGAACGCUGGCGGCACGCUUAACACAUGCAAGUCGAACGGAGUUAGCCCUUCGGGACUAACUUAGUGGCGGACGGGUGAGUAACACGUGAGCAACCUGCCUUCGAGAGUGGAAUAAUGGCCGGAAACAGCCACUAAUACCGCAUAACACAGCGAGACCGCAUGAUCUUGCUGUCAAAGAUUUAUCGCUCGAAGAUGGGCUCGCGUCCGAUUAGCUAGUUGGUGAGGUAACGGCUCACCAAGGCGACGAUCGGUAGCCGUACUGAGAGGUAGAACGGCCACAUUGGGACUGAGACACGGCCCAGACUCC